Drosophila hydei is the source of this 1027-nucleotide long non-coding RNA. RefSeq lists it as uncharacterized. NCBI's taxonomy places the organism in Eukaryota, Metazoa, Arthropoda, Insecta, Diptera, Drosophilidae. The record is from RefSeq and is a predicted model, not a curated record. The transcript is spliced from 2 exons.
CAGAGCCCUCCUCGUAGCAGCUGCCUCCCUAGGCAAUAUAAAAACUAGUAAACAAUUUCACAAAUCUGUUUCUGAUUGCAGCAGGGGCUACAUGUAAACCGGUUUUGGGCGGCUAAGCGCUGACCCCAGCGCUGGAUGAUAACCCGCCUCGCCUCUACGGAACGAAAUGCCAAUGCCGGAGCUUAUCAGUCAGCCAGACGUUAUUUGACUUAUAUAUAUAUAGAGACAAUAUAGAAUACAUAUAGAAGAGAUCGGAAUCUGGAAUCUGCCAACGGCCUGUGACAUAAUUGCGACCGACAAACCGCUGCAAACUCGUAAAAGCACCGAAACACGCCAUAUGUUUAGGUAUUUGGAAGAUGUGGAGGUAUCGAAAGCUUCGCUUUGACCCUAUGGGAUCAGCCCACAACUACGCAAUGCCCAAAGCAACAAUGAGCGGUGCGAACACUAAUUAUUAUUCAAAUUGUAUCAACCUAUUAACAAGAAGUGCUGAAGCAGACGUCUAUUGAAUUUCGCCAUUAGCAGCAACAGCAGCGGGCGAGAAAUUAAUAAAAAUCAACAGACAGCUGGACAAACAAAUGACUAUAUCCAAUCAUCUAUUUGUAUAUAAUUUUCAGAUUUUAAGGGAUGGAACAGUGCGUAACGAACAGAGCCUAAAAAUCGCAAGGUCUCGAACGAAGGGUAGCGCAAAACACGAGACGAGGACGAGAACGAGAACGCAAACGAAAGCGGACACCCGACAGCAGCAGCAACAGCAAAAGCGAAUAAAAAAAACAGCAACAAAGAUGUCGGCAACACGACAAUGACGACGUUGCCACGUUGCAGUGCCGAUUCGCCUCACGCACGCACACACACACACAUAAAUAUAGAAACUUGGGCCAACAUCUGGCUCUGCUCCUUGGAUUCAGAAUCAGUUCGUUGUCGUCAGUCAGUCAGAUUAGUUCGAUUCCUGCGAAUUCCAAACGCCUUCCGAAGCGCAGCGCACAAAGUACACAAAGUCCACAACAAAUUUGGAACGCACUGCAAAAGG